Molecule: transfer RNA, 72 nt
Filed under: Micromonas commoda
Lineage: Eukaryota; Viridiplantae; Chlorophyta; Mamiellophyceae; Mamiellales; Mamiellaceae
Description: tRNA-Arg (ACG) (tRNA-Arg-ACG-2-1)
Rfam family: tRNA
About the family: Transfer RNA (tRNA) molecules are approximately 80 nucleotides in length.
Source: RNAcentral
GGUCCUGUUGCCCGAUGGAUAAGGCGCCGGUCUACGGAACCGGAGAGUCCAGGUUCGUCCCUGGCAGGAUCA